UACGUAGGGUGCGAGCGUUAAUCGGAAUUACUGGGCGUAAAGUGUGCGCAGGCGGCUUCGCAAGUCGAGUGUGAAAUCCCCGAGCUUAACUUGGGAAUUGCGCUCGAAACUACGGAGCUGGAGUGUGGCAGAGGAAGGUGGAAUUCCACGUGUAGCGGUGAAAUGCGUAGAGAUGUGGAGGAACACCGAUGGCGAAGGCAAUCCCCUGGGCCUGCACUGACGCUCAUGCACGAAAGCGUGGGGAGCAAACAGG
This 253-nucleotide ribosomal RNA is filed under the name uncultured bacterium. RNAcentral's name for it is "partial 16S ribosomal RNA". It matches the Rfam family "Bacterial small subunit ribosomal RNA", at positions 524 to 776 of the family's 1533-position model. The record is from RNAcentral.